GUUUCAGGCUUCUCUUGGGAACAGAAAGCUCAUGUGUCCUGGACACAUAUUCCUAUGUGACAUUAGUUGCUGGAGUGACAAGGCUGCUGUCCCAUGAAGAGCAGGAGGAAAUAGUUUUUACAGUUACACGUGUAUCCUACCAACCGCCCUCAUCGCCUGAACCAGCCUAACUCCUGUAGGUAUUAGUUUAUAAAUUCUGCUCUAAAUUGAGAAUUUCUUGGGGGGGGGCACACCUGCACCAUAUGGAGGUUCCCAGGCUAGGGGUUGAAUCAGAACUGUAGCCACUGGCCUUCGGCCACAGCCACAGCAAAGCCAGAUCCGAGCUGCCUCUGCAACCUACACCACAGCUCAUGGCAACGCUGGAUCCUUUAACCCACCGAUCGAGGCCACGAUCGAGGCCAGGGAUCAGACCUGCAUCCUCAUGGAUGCUGUCAGAUUCGUUUCCACUGAGCCAUAACGGGAACUCCUAAACCACAAAUUUAAACCAAACUCCAGAUUACCUGGAACUGCCUUCCAUAGUUUCCAUGAUGUUUGCAGCCUGAGUGCCUUAUCAGCUCGGGGUCCAGAAGUUCACUAGGCUCUCUAACUUCUGGGCUGACUGCAGACCUAAUUCAGUCUCUUGGGGUCCAGCCUGGGAGCUUAGACAGAUUUUAAACAGAUGCCUGAGAGAUGUUAUUCCCGCUAACAGUUGAAAAGCACUGCUUUGUGCCUUCUUAGCACAACGUUCUUGUUCUCCUGACUCCCGAGACAGCACGCAAGCCAUCUCAUCCCGGGAGACCUUCCAGGUCACUGCUGGGCUGGACUGAAGACUUGCCUCGACUGAACUUUCCGCCUGUGGCAUUUCUGUCACACUCAUUCUGCUCUCGACUCUCCAGCUAUUCUUGACAUUCCACACAGGGAGCAGAGUUGAGACGUUCUUUUCUAAAGAAGACAAACCUCUUUGUCUCGUUUCCUGUCUUCCUGCUUCUGGAAAGGCUGUGAGCAGGGUGGAGACUGAAGGAUGCCCAGCACCCUCAUCUGAGCUGGGUCCUUCUUCAGGCCGGAUUCUUUCCUCGAUUUCCCCGUCACCCCUGCUCCAAGUACCUGGAGGGCAUGGUCUUGCCCCUAGAGGCACCCAGCCCUUCAAGAGGCACAUAUUGCCACUGCGGUGGCAAUCGCCACACGGUGAGGCCUCGGUCAUGGUGGAGGCCCGUCAAGGACACCUCAGAGCCACUUCUCCACAUGGCAAUUAACUGACUGACUGUGUUUCCCAUCAUGGAAGUACCAAAUGUUAAAAGUGUCUGAGAGGGAGUUCCCAUCCUGUCUCAGCAAUAACAAACCCCACGAGUAUCCAUGAGGAUGCAGGUUUGAUCCCUGGCCUCGCUCAGUGGGUUACGGAUCCAGUGUUGACGUGAGCUAUGGUGUAGAUCACAGACGUGUCUUGGAUCCUGUGUUGCUGUGGCUGUGGUGUAGGCCGGCAGCUGUAGCUCUGAUUCGACCCCUAGCCUGGGAACUUCCAUGUGCCUCAAGGUGGCCCUAAAAAGACCAAACAAAAACAAAAACAAACCAAAAAAUGGCCAAGAAAAUAACUUGGCUUUGAUUUAAAAAGAUCCUAGAGUCUGAUGUGUCCCUUUUAAAAAACCCUUGUGAAACACUCAACAGGAGGCAUCAUAUGCAUUUCUAGGAAAUGUUUUGAAGACAAACAAAAGGACAUUGAGAUGGGACAGAAGGAGGCAGCCCAGUGAGUGUGCACAUUAGAGCUGCAAGGUGAUGGCUCUCCCCAGAUGAGACUGUGACCAGUCUAGCAAGGACCAAGCCAGCCACAGGUGAGACUAGGACUUCCAUGUAGAGCUCACACGGCCUCACCUGCCCACCAAGGGCAGGGACACAGGGUCACAUCAGUAGCAGCCACAACAGUACCAGCAUCUUCCUGGCCACAGAGAAAGACUAUGUUCAGCAAAGGCUUUGUGGAUGAGCAGGAUGUUUUGCGAGACUAUCAAGGGACUAAAAGGACACUGAUGACUGUCCAAGAGCCCCUCAUUUCUGGAACAAGGACUGUCCAGAGCCCUAUUGUGGCCUGGAGAUAGGGAGUGAUGUCCCCAGAGACCAUCAGCCAGCUGGAUGGUGCUAUCUUGGCCAUGAGAUUUGCUCAAGCCAACAGAAAACUUUGCAAAAGCUGAGGAAAGAGAAAAAUCCAUAAAACUAGGAUGGAGAGGGGGGAAAAAAAAAAAGAGUUCAAAACUAAAAGUCAUGAUUGAGUAAGAAAUCCAGGGGGAGGGAAAGGCUUUAGUGGAAACUAUGCCUGGAGAGCCAGAAGGUUGCCUCCUGGAAAAUGGGGCAGCCACAGCCCCCCUUGUUUUUGUAGGAAGUGAGAAGAGACGCCUUCAAAGGGCUUAGAUGGGCAAUUCAGCAAGCCCAGGGCUGAGAUUUACCGUCAAAAGGCAGGUUGGGGUAGACGGAUUUACAGCCUAUGCCCUGGGGCCAAAUAUGAAGAAAUGAGAGCUACAAACUUUUAUUGGCAAGCCACCUAAGAGAUCGUAAAGCAAAGGAGGGUGGAGUGAAUUGAUUUUCUAGAGGCAAUCAUGCCUCAAAAAGCAGGGUCUUAAGCUGGUCUGGAUGGGCCCCAGAGCAGCCACAACAGCUGGGCUCUCUCUCCCCGGCCACCAGUCCACCAUCACCCAUCCCUGUGACCACAGGGAAUUAUACAAGAAUAAAGUAUUCUCAGAGGAUACGCCGAAUAGGACCAGAAGGGCUCAGGCGGAGCAGCCUCUAUUCAUGUCACAAAUACGUAUCGCACGCCCCAUGGGCAAGGGAUUGUUCCAGACCCCUCAGCUGGGACCUCAGCCCAAAGAUCAUCCGGAGGCCUUAGAGCAUCCGUAUUUUCCUCCACCAGUUGCAUCCUGACACUCGGGAUGAAGGACCACAAGGACACUAGAAGGGAACCCAACAGUCUCUCAUGGAGGAGAAAAGGGAGCCUAAGCCUGUUGGGUCUUUGUUUUCUGUCGGCAGAUGUCCUCUCUUUUCCCUUCUUUGUCACCUGGUUGAUGUUCUAGCGGGAUGCGUUUUUGAAGAUCCGGGGAGAUGGAGGUAGGCGGCGUGGUUUAUAAGCAGAGAAGCAAUUUUCGGCUGAUGCACACACGGCACCAAGAUGUUCAUUCGGGUGUUGAGAGGAGGUGUUUUCCUGAGGAGGUGUUUUCAUUUCCAUUUUAAGUUUAAUUAUACACUGUGGCGAUUGUGGCCGAUUGGCAAAGACCUGUAGAAACCCAGAGAAGAUGAAAUGUGAAAGAAAGGGCUUACGUUCUGAAGUUCUGGGCUUUGCACUAACCUCUCCCUCAGAGUUUGAAAAGACCCAUCAAGGAGUUCCCACUCUGGCUCAGUGGGUUAAGAACACAACAAGGGUCCAUGAGGAUGCGCGUUUCAGACCUGGCCUUGGUCAGGGGGUUAAGGAUCCCGAGUUGCCAUAAGCUGUGUGGUAUAGGUCGAAGAUGUGGCUUGGACCUGGUGUGGCUGUGGCUGUAGCAGACAGCUACAGCUCCGAUUCAACUCCUAACCUGGAAACCUCCCUAUGCCACAGGUGCAGCCCUAAAGAGACAAAAACAAAACAAACAAAACAAAAAACCAUCAGGCCUCCUUUUGGAAAUACCACAGAGUAGCCUGAACCUGGUUGGGGGAGAACCCUCAUUCAGACACGUACGUGCAGGAACUGAGUGAUUUGAGGGCGCCUCUGGCCACCUCUGCAAAGCAGCCUUCUCUGCAGGGCAGCUGAGGGCGUCUCUGACGCAGGGGGAGUUCUGUCUGUCACUGGGCCGAAGGUGGGAGGAAUUCACUGGAGCUCUGUGGUCAGGCAGGAGCAUCUUGGAAGGCUAAGGAAGUUGGAAAGCUGAGAGUGGCUAAUAAAAAACAGGGCAAUACGCUGUAACAAGGCUGGAUCAUGAAGCCACACUUCAUCUGAGGAGCCGAGAAGCCAGUGAGACUUGGACCUAUUUUUUUCUAAACUAUGAGGGUCACAGUAAAAGGAAUCAGCCUUGCAAAUUUGUUUUCUUUUUUUAAUCUGUGACCAAAUACAGAAGCAGGAUUGUAGCCGAAUUUGAUCUCUUUCUGCCAAUUCCAUCUGGAGAAGAACAUCCUAGGUCCUUUGUGCGCCAUACCGCAGAUGGUUGUCGUUGAUGCCGUAGGUGAUCAAGAAAUCCAGAUUUCCCGGCCGAAUGGUCAUAUCAGAGCCUCACAGAUGUCCGUUCCCAGCCCAGGCCUAAAUCCUGCUAGACGCAUUCUUGAGGCAGUUGCUGGGCUCAGACACUGAGGCUGUCAAACAGCUGCCAACAUCAAGAACAGUUUCAGGCAAUUACCCCCCAAACCACCCGCACUGCUCACCUCUCCACCCGGCCCCCCACCUCCCUGUGGGAUUUGCAGGUUGACCAGAAAUUGGAGGGAUGUCUCGUCUCCUGCUGCAAGGCCAUCUUCCGAGGCCAGCGGUGUGCCAAGUGUGGUCCAGAUCAGCAGCAUCAGAGUCACCUGGAAACCUGUUAAGGCCGCACCGCUUCUGGCUCCAGGGCUGGGCUUCCAAGCCACCACCUGCCCUGGAUUCCCUCAUCUUCAGACCCUUUAAUUCUCCCCAGCUGGCAGGCUAUGUGAACAGUUUCCCCAACCUCCCCACCACCUUGCAAUGUAGGUUGGGGAUCUGGUGUUGCUGUGAGCCGUGGUGUAGGUCACGGACACAUUGCUGUGGCUGUAGUGUAAGCCAGCAGCUGUGGCUCCAAUUCAACCCCUGGCCUGGGAACUUCCAUACGCCACGAGUGCAGCCCUAAAAAGCAAAACAAAACAAAACAAAACAAAAAUGUAAAUUAACCCUGUGUAUCAUAUCAUUUGUCUUGACUUUAUACAGCUCCUUAGUCUCAUAGACAGUUUUAGUUUUGACGUCAUCAGAUCUGACAGGUUCUCUUUCCUUUAUCGAUUCUGAAUUGUAUUUUUUUUUUUUUAGUUUUUUUUUACUGUAAGUGAUUUACAAUGUUCUGUCAGUUUAAGAUGGCCUUGUCUGUUCCAAGAUCAUGCAAAUAUUUGCUCGUAUUUUCUGCUAGUAGGUCUAUAACCUAUCUGGAAUUAUUUUUGUAAUUGCCGUGAAGUAAAGAACUAUUUCAUCAUCUUUAAAA
RNAcentral lists this long non-coding RNA (5126 nucleotides) under Sus scrofa (pig). Its description in RNAcentral is "lncRNA (ENSSSCG00055016423.1)". Lineage: Eukaryota; Metazoa; Chordata; Mammalia; Artiodactyla; Suidae. The record is from RNAcentral.